AGUCAAGUAAUUAAGUGCAUGUGGUGGAUGCCUUGGCAGUCAGAGGCGAUGAAAGACGUGAUAGCCUGCGAAAAGCUCCGGGGAGGCGGCAAAUAUCCUUUGAUCCGGAGAUGUCUGAAUGGGGGAACCCACCUACUUUAAGGUAGGUAUUGCAACAUGAAUACAUAGUGUUGCAAGGCGAACGAGGGGAAGUGAAACAUCUCAGUACCCUUAGGAAAAGAAAUCAAUUGAGAUUCCCUCAGUAGCGGCGAGCGAACGGGGAUCAGCCCAUUAAGUUAUGUGUGUUUUAGUGGAACGCUCUGGGAAGUGCGAACGUAGAGGGUGAUAUUCCCGUACACGAAAGGGCACACAUAAUGAUGACGAGUAGGGCGAGGCACGUGAAACCUUGUCUGAAUAUGGGGGGACCAUCCUCCAAGGCUAAAUACUCCUGACUGACCGAUAGUGAACCAGUACCGUGAGGGAAAGGCGAAAAGAACCCCUGUGAGGGGAGUGAAAUAGAUCCUGAAACCGCAUGCAUACAAGCAGUGGGAGCACCUUCGUGGUGUGACUGCGUACCUUUUGUAUAAUGGGUCAGCGACUUAUAUUCAGUAGCGAGGUUAACCGUAUAGGGGAGCCGUAGAGAAAUCGAGUCUUAAUAGGGCGUUUAGUU
This 649-nucleotide ribosomal RNA is filed under the name Acinetobacter baumannii. RNAcentral's name for it is "partial 23S ribosomal RNA". It matches the Rfam family "Bacterial large subunit ribosomal RNA", at positions 1 to 701 of the family's 2925-position model. Lineage: Bacteria; Pseudomonadati; Pseudomonadota; Gammaproteobacteria; Moraxellales; Moraxellaceae. The record is from RNAcentral.